This 465-nucleotide ribosomal RNA is filed under the name uncultured bacterium. Its description in RNAcentral is "partial 16S ribosomal RNA". It matches the Rfam family "Bacterial small subunit ribosomal RNA", at positions 28 to 507 of the family's 1533-position model. The record is from RNAcentral.
GACGAACGCUGGCGGCGUGCUUAACACAUGCAAGUCGUACGGUAAGGCCCUUUCGGGGGUACACGAGUGGCGAACGGGUGAGUAACACGUGAGUAACCUGCCCACAACUUUGGGAUAACGCUAGUAAACUGGUGCUAAUACUGGAUAUGUGCUCCUGCUGCCUGGUGGGGGUUGGAAAGCUCCGGCGGUUGUGGAUGGACUCGCGGCCUAUCAGCUUGUUGGUGGGGUAGUGGCCUACCAAGGCGGCGACGGGUAGCCGGCCUGAGAGGGUGACCGGGCACAUUGGGACUGAGAUACGGCCCAGACUCCUACGGGAGGCAGCAGUGGGGAAUAUUGCACAAUGGGCGCAAGCCUGAUGCAGCAACGCCGCGUGCGGGAUGACGGCCUUCGGGUUGUAAACCGCUUUCAGCAGGGACGAAGCUUUUUGUGACGGUACCUGCAGAAGAAGCACCGGCUAACUACGUG